Molecule: ribosomal RNA, 253 nt
Filed under: uncultured bacterium
Lineage: Bacteria
Description: partial 16S ribosomal RNA
Rfam family: Bacterial small subunit ribosomal RNA
Source: RNAcentral
UACGUAGGGGGCAAGCGUUGUCCGGAUUUAUUGGGCGUAAAGCGCGUGUAGGCGGUGCCGCACGUCCGAUGUGAAAGCCCCGGGCUCACCUCGGGAAGUGCGUCGGAAACUGCGAGACUAGAAUCCCGGAGAGGGAGGUGGAAUUCCAGGUGUAGCGGUGAAAUGCGUAGAUAUCUGGAAGAACACCGGUGGCGAAGGCGGCCUCCUGGACGGUGAUUGACGCUGAGACGCGAAAGCGUGGGGAGCAAACAGG